This 265-nucleotide ribosomal RNA is filed under the name uncultured bacterium. RNAcentral describes it as "partial 16S ribosomal RNA". It matches the Rfam family "Bacterial small subunit ribosomal RNA", at positions 524 to 783 of the family's 1533-position model. The record is from RNAcentral.
UACGUAGGCAGCGAGCGUUGUUCGGAGUUACUUGGGCGUAAAGGGUGUGUAGGCGGUUCUUUAAGUUUGGUGUGGAAAUCUCCCGGUCCUAACCGGGAGGGUGCGCCGAAAACUGGGGGACUGAGAGUGCGGGAUGGGAGAGUAGAAUUCCGUGGUGUAGCGGUGAAAUGCGUAGAUAUCAGGAGGAAUACCGGUGGUGUAGACGGCUCUCUGGACCGCAACUGACGCUGAGACACGAAAGCGUGGGUAGCAAACAGGAUUAGAA